UACGAAGGGGGCUAGCGUUGCUCGGAAUCACUGGGCGUAAAGGGUGCGUAGGCGGGUCUUUAAGUCAGGGGUGAAAUCCUGGAGCUCAACUCCAGAACUGCCUUUGAUACUGAGGAUCUUGAGUUCGGGAGAGGUGAGUGGAACUGCGAGUGUAGAGGUGAAAUUCGUAGAUAUUCGGAAGAACACCAGUGGCGAAGGCGGCUCACUGGACGACUAUUGACGCUGAGGUGCGAAAGCGUGGGGAGCAAACAGG
RNAcentral lists this ribosomal RNA (253 nucleotides) under uncultured bacterium. Its description in RNAcentral is "partial 16S ribosomal RNA". It matches the Rfam family "Bacterial small subunit ribosomal RNA", at positions 524 to 776 of the family's 1533-position model. The record is from RNAcentral.